GCUGUGAUGCGAACCUUGUAAAUAGGGAAUUUACUGCUAGGAGUUUGAGUAUACUUGUAAUGAGAAAGAAAAAAAGGAAUUUUAAAUCACAGCUUUGCAUUUUGUGGCUAUUGCAUCUGGAUGUAUGGUAAAAAUUGAUGCAAAAUGUUAUAUUCUUUUAAUUUAAUAAAUGCUAGAGGGGUUAUCUCAACCAGGGAAAGCUACAAAGGGAAAAAAAACAUGUUAAUGGGACACAGCUCCCUUGCUUUUUGCAACAGAACUGCUCCUGGAAGCUUUCCCCUCUUUCUGAAGAAAAAUGCUUGUGCUGCCUUCACAAGCUGCUUGGAGCCACUUCAGAUUCAGACGAACUGCGGAGCCCACAUCACAUGUGACAGUGCAACUAUGAGACAGCAGGGGUGGACCAGCUCCCACACGGUGCCCACAGAACACCUCCACAUGCCAUUCACACUCAGCAGGCCGUGAACUCCUGCCGCUGAGAGAACUGUUUGGAACUGACCCCCUCAGGUGGUCCCUCUGAAAGCAAGGACUGAACUGAAUUGCUUGGACCAGACUGAGAACCCUGGAGCAGGAGGAACCAUGGUGGGAAGCCACGCUGGGGGCCCUGUUAGCCUGUACUGCCUGACCAAUGCACGUCCUGCUUGGGGUGCCUGAACAUUGUAAACAGUUUGUUUGCAGGGGACAUGUGUGCCCUUCUGUGCCCUCUGGGAUUGUACUUCUUGGGUGUGUGCCCUGACCGUCAUGACACUGCCUCAGCCCUGGAAGGCUUUGGGCCAGCUUCAUCCUGCUGGCCAGAGCUAUGCUGGGCCUGAAUUGAUGCCUCAGGCUGGGUUUUAAAAAAAGGUUCAUAGAGAAACUUAUGGAGGAAGCCACCUGGCUUUCUAAGACAGAUCUUUGUGGCUAAUGGGAUGUAUUUUAACUGGCUAAGUCCAGGACCCCUACAGAGCAUAAUUGAGAUCAAUACUGCAGGUUAGCCUCACCCUGCUGUGUGGGGUCCUACUGAUAAUAAUUCUGUAAAGACAGCUUGGCCAAGGGCUGAGGGAGUGGAUUAUGCAGACAAGUUAACAUAGCAAGAGUGAAACUGCUAUCCAUAGAAUGGCCUGCAUGCCAGGUUAACCCUUGACUGACAUCUGAGAACUUUGAUUUGGGGAGUGUUCCUGCCCUUCCCUAAUUCAUAAGAGUGACUCAUUGUAGCUAGACUGUUUGUGCAAACAACGGGGUUUAUUUGUUGAACACCUGCUUUCUGUGUGUUUGGAAUUUUGGUACCUGCCAGGUAAAGGGUCCUAUGUGACCAGCCUCCAAUAAAAACCCAGAACUCUGAGUCCCAAAGGGCUUGCCUGGGCAGAAAUAUGGCACACAUGUUGCUGAAUUUUCAUUGCAAGGGAAAAGUGUGCUCUGUGUGACACUUCAUGGGAGGGAGAAAGAAAAAGAAAGCCUGCACGUGGAUUCCUCCAGACUCCACCUGUGUCUCUUCUCCUUAUGAUCUGGUUAUAUAUCCUUACUACAUCUUGGUAAUAAGUCUUAGCCCUGAACACAACUAUAUGCUGAAUCCCAUGAGAUCUUCUAGCAAAUCUCUGAAUAGAGUGGUGAUCUUAGGGGUCCCUCAUCACAGUCACCAAUGGAAAUCUCAGAUAUUUUCUUAUCACAUUAUAGAUAUUUGGAAAUUUCAAUUAUAUUGAUCACUGCUUUGAUAUUAAGGUAGAUAUGAGACCUGCCACUAGUUUGUUAUUUAAAGUGUUGAUAAAGAAGCCCACAUACUAUACAUUUUAAAAUAUUUUUAAAAUUGAACAUCUUUAAUAUAUUUUCACAUAAUUGAUUUCCUUUUUAAUCCUAAGUAUUUUACUUGCUGCAUUAUUUUGAGAGCUUCCUUCUGAGAAGAUAUCCAUAGGAUUCACCAGACUGCUGAAGGGGUCUGCACAAAAGAGAGUUUGACUCCCUGCAAUGGGUUAUUACCCUGGACUAGAUGUAUAAUCACUAACAGGCAAUUUAUUACCUAUAAGUGAAUAAACACUUAGUACCCUAAAUUUUACCCAGAGACAAGGAAUAACUAGUUCUAUACAUUACAUUUAAAGGGGCAGCAGUAGCUAACAAUAAAGUCACUGUGAUUUCAUGCCAUGCUUGUUCAAUGUGACAGUUACAAUAUAUAAUUGAUCUAAAAGGUGAGAUAU
This is a long non-coding RNA of Equus caballus (horse), 2165 nucleotides long. NCBI's taxonomy places the organism in Eukaryota, Metazoa, Chordata, Mammalia, Perissodactyla, Equidae. The record is from Ensembl.